ACCUACGGGGGGCAGCAGUGGGGGAUAUUGCACAAUGGGGGGAACCCUGAUGCAGCGACGCCGCGUGGGUGAAGAAGCGCCUCGGCGCGUAAAGCCCUGUCAGCAGGGAAGAAAAUGACGGUACCUGAAGAAGAAGCCCCGGCUAACUACGUGCCAGCAGCCGCGGUAAUACGUAGGGGGCAAGCGUUAUCCGGAUUUACUGGGUGUAAAGGGGGCGCAGACGGCGAUGCAAGCCAGGAGUGAAAGCCCGGGGCCCAGCCCCGGGACUGCUCUUGGAACUGCGGGGCUAGAGUGCAGGAGGGGCA
This 305-nucleotide ribosomal RNA is filed under the name uncultured bacterium. RNAcentral describes it as "partial 16S ribosomal RNA". It matches the Rfam family "Bacterial small subunit ribosomal RNA", at positions 337 to 659 of the family's 1533-position model. The record is from RNAcentral.